GACGAACGCUGGCGGCGUGCUUAACACAUGCAAGUCGAACGGAAAGGCCUGCUUUCCCUUGUGGAUUGCGGGUACUCGAGUGGCGAACGGGUGAGUAACACGUGAGUGAUCUGCCCCCAACUUGGGUAUAAGCCUGGGAAACUGGGUCUAAUUCCCGAUAGGACUGCAGGGUGGUGCCUGUGGUGGAAAACGAUUUUCUAGUGGUUGGGGAUGAGCUCGCGGCCUAUCAGCUUGUUGGUGGGGUAAUGGCCCACCAAGGCGGCGACGGGUAGCCGGCCUGAGAGGGUGGACGGCCACAUUGGGACUGAGAUACGGCCCAGACUCCUACGGGAGGCAGCAGUGGGGAAUAUUACACAAUGGGCGGAAGCCUGAUGCAGCGACGCCGCGUGGGGGAUGACGGCCUUCGGGUUGUAAACUCCUUUCGACCGCGAGGAAGCCACCUGGUUGGAAGGGUGGUGACGGUAGUGGUAGAAGAAGCACCGGCUAACUACGUG
RNAcentral lists this ribosomal RNA (494 nucleotides) under uncultured bacterium. RNAcentral's name for it is "partial 16S ribosomal RNA". It matches the Rfam family "Bacterial small subunit ribosomal RNA", at positions 28 to 507 of the family's 1533-position model. The record is from RNAcentral.